Molecule: long non-coding RNA, 258 nt
Organism: Helianthus annuus (common sunflower)
Lineage: Eukaryota; Viridiplantae; Streptophyta; Magnoliopsida; Asterales; Asteraceae
Exons: 2
Source: RefSeq, a predicted model, not a curated record
UCAUCCUUUAUUCAUGACUAUACAAAACACUUCGAGAUUAGCUUUUUUUCGGGAAAAAGUUGCAUCUAGUGUCAUUAAAACUACAGAAGUUGUUCACUAAAGGAUUGUUUCCUCAACAGCAUGAUGAUAUGUGGUUGCCUUGAAAAUGGGCUAGACAAGUUGUGAUGGGCAUAUGAGAGGGUUUAUUAAACAAAGAGUCAAGUUGUUGGAGUUUUUCAACAACUCAUAAGAUAUUUUCUAGAUCUCUUUUUAUGGUCA